CACGGAUCUUACUUUGUGCCAUUUUCGGGUUGAUUUUAACUCGUUUAUUUCAGAGCUCUUUGCCUCACCUUUAUUUUUAGAUUUAGUCGUGUUUGCUGAAAUAUCAGUUGCUUCUUCUGUGAAUGAAGUGUGGGAACUUGCUCUCGUCGCAGUUAAUGAAAUCAGGAAAAUAAAAAGAUCAAAAGGGUUGGGGAUGGGAGAAUGAAGAGGAAUGUAGACAGAUAGUCUAGGGCCACUCACUGGCUUUUGGCGAUUCUUAGUUCCUUAAGCUGAUUAAAACAAUGUGAGGAAAUGUGGGCUUCUCCACUUUUUAGGAAGAGGUAAUAACGGGCAUUUUACGUGGCGCCACAGCGUUUGUUUUCAAAGUUUGAACGUGAAUGUAGCAAGCAUAAUUUUAUUAAUGAAAAUAUUCUUUAGACAACUGUUAAUAUUGACGAAAGAAGAGAAACAGAGACACGGAAGCUAAAGAGUUGGGAAUCCUAAAGGUCAAAGGAUGUUUCUCAGUUACUCUGAUGUCCUGUGUUUUCUUUCAGUUGGUACAAAAUCUGUUUCUUGGAAAUGACACUUUUUUGGGGCUAAAAUACAUGCUGUUUGAAAUACAUGCAACAGAAAUGAAUAUUUGGCUUCAAACAUGCAGGUUUUAAGAACUAUCCACACUCGUUUUUAUUUGGAGAUGUUCAGUCAGUGGAUAACAAAGUGACUUUUCUCACCUGCAGUUUUUG
Molecule: long non-coding RNA, 722 nt
Filed under: Homo sapiens (human)
Lineage: Eukaryota; Metazoa; Chordata; Mammalia; Primates; Hominidae
Description: HSALNT0275071
Source: RNAcentral